Molecule: ribosomal RNA, 253 nt
Filed under: uncultured bacterium
Lineage: Bacteria
Description: partial 16S ribosomal RNA
Rfam family: Bacterial small subunit ribosomal RNA
Source: RNAcentral
UACGAAGGGGGCUAGCGUUGUUCGGAAUUACUGGGCGUAAAGCGCGCGCAGGUGGUCUUUCAAGUCAGUGGUGAAAGCCCGGAGCUCAACUCCGGAAAUGCCAUUGAAACUGUGAGACUUGAGGACGAGAGAGGUGAGUGGAACUGCGAGUGUAGAGGUGAAAUUCGUAGAUAUUCGCAAGAACACCAGUGGCGAAGGCGGCUCACUGGCCCGGUACUGACGCUGAGGUGCGAAAGCGUGGGGAGCAAACAGG